UGUUUUUAGGUUGAUUAUCGCUGC
This 24-nucleotide non-coding RNA is filed under the name Arabidopsis thaliana (thale cress). The record is from RNAcentral. Lineage: Eukaryota; Viridiplantae; Streptophyta; Magnoliopsida; Brassicales; Brassicaceae.